CUCUUCUUGUGUUUAAAUAUGAAGUAUAACCUGCUCAAUGAAUAUUUAAAUGGCCGCGGUAUACUGACCGUGCAAAGGUAGCAUAAUCAUUAGUCUUUUAAUUGUAGGCUGGAAUGAAUGGUUGGACGAGAUAAAAUCUUUCUUAAAUUUAUUUGUUUGAAUUUAAUUAUUGUGUUAAAAAGCUCAAAUUUUUUUUUGGGACGAGAAGACCCUAUAGAGUUUUAUAAUUAAUAAUUAUUUUUAUUGUUUGGUAUAUUUUAAAUUGAAUUAAUUAUUUUGUUGGGGUGAUGUGAAGAUAUAAUUAACUCUUUAUAUUUAUUGUUUAUGAAUUAAUAUUUUUUUUGAUCCAUUUUUAGUGAUUAAAAGACUAAAUUACCUUAGGGAUAACAGCGUAAUCUUUUUUGAGAGUUCUUAUCGACAAAUAAGGGUUGCGACCUCGAUGUUGGAUUAAGAUUAUUCUUGGGUGUAAAAGCUUAAGAUUUAGGUCUGUUCGACCUUUAAUUUCUUACA
RNAcentral lists this ribosomal RNA (510 nucleotides) under Panesthia cribrata. Its description in RNAcentral is "partial 16S ribosomal RNA". The stretch from base 383 to 510 matches the Rfam family "Bacterial large subunit ribosomal RNA", at positions 2473 to 2600 of the family's 2925-position model. Lineage: Eukaryota; Metazoa; Arthropoda; Insecta; Blattodea; Blaberidae. The record is from RNAcentral.